Phasianus colchicus (ring-necked pheasant) is the source of this 322-nucleotide non-coding RNA. The record is from RefSeq and is a predicted model, not a curated record. Lineage: Eukaryota; Metazoa; Chordata; Aves; Galliformes; Phasianidae.
GUCCCCAAAUGUCCCCAUGUGUCCCCAUAUGUCCCUAUAUGUCCCCAUAAGUCCCUAUAUGACCCUAUAAGUCCCCACGUGUCCCCAAAUGUCCCCAAAUGUCCCCAAAUGUCCCCAAAUGUCCCCAAAUGUCCCCACAGGCAGCGACCGCGACAGCGACGCCGACGGCCCCGACUACGAGAACGUGACCCCGCCGCGCCCCCCCGGCCCCCCAUAAUUUAUUGGUGCCCCACACGGAGCCCCCCGGGCUGACGCCACCUGAGAAGACGCCGCGACCCACAGAUCCCCAGCGACCCCAAUAAAGCCCCACGUUCACCCCACA